GAGGGUACAGCUCAGUAGUAGAGCACAUGCUUAGCAAGCACGAGGUCCUGGGUUCAAUCCCCAGUAGCUCCA
Molecule: transfer RNA, 72 nt
Filed under: Camelus bactrianus (Bactrian camel)
Lineage: Eukaryota; Metazoa; Chordata; Mammalia; Artiodactyla; Camelidae
Also listed under: 2 other names
Rfam family: tRNA
About the family: Transfer RNA (tRNA) molecules are approximately 80 nucleotides in length. Their secondary structure includes four short double-helical elements and three loops (D, anti-codon, and T loops). Further hydrogen bonds mediate the characteristic L-shaped molecular structure. tRNAs have two regions of fundamental functional importance: the anti-codon, which is responsible for specific mRNA codon recognition, and the 3' end, to which the tRNAs corresponding amino acid is attached (by aminoacyl-tRNA synthetases). tRNAs cope with the degeneracy of the genetic code in two manners: having more than one tRNA (with a specific anti-codon) for a particular amino acid; and 'wobble' base-pairing, i.e. permitting non-standard base-pairing at the 3rd anti-codon position.
Source: Rfam by way of RNAcentral